CGCCCGCUGCCCCGGUGUCCGCACGGCCUUUCCCCGCACGGAGCGCGGCCGCUCUCUGUAAAAACCGGGUUUUCUCCGGCCGUCUGUGCGUUCCGGGAAGAGAAACGGGAGACGAGAGGGCGCAGCCGUUGCCGGGGCGGUCACCCAGCGGGGCCAGCACAGGGCCGAAGCAGGAGGGAGCGCGGAUGUCACCAACGCACCCCUGGAUGAGCAUUUAAGUAACAAAAAUCUCACAUUUCAAAACACAGGUGGGAAGGAAAAGUAAUUCCAACCCUAGAAAGACCCACAGGUAAUCCCGGUAAUUACAGACCUGCAAGAGCCUUUGGACAGACUUGGCCUGGCACACACAGCUGGCACACAGGAGGAUGGCACACAGCUGGCACACAGCUGCACACAGCUGGCACACAGGAGGAUGGCACACAGCUGGCACACAGCUGGCACACAGCUGCACACAGCUGGCACACAGGAGGAUGGCACACAGCUGGCACACAGCUGGCACACAGCUGGCACACAGCUGGCACACACGUGCCCAGGCCCCUGAGACAAAGCUCAGGCAUUUACCUGCUCACUUCAACAGCCACAACCAGGAGUUCACCUGAUGCACUUGAUCUCCAGGCCACCAAACCUAAUCAGUACAGUUGUGAGACAGGGAGAACACCCAAGUUAAACCUAACUCCACAAUCACUGCUUUAGUUUUAAUACAGCAGGAAAAGCCCACCUGGAGCCUGAUCCCCGCUCCCAGGGAAGAGCACCUCUCCUCACUGCAUGGUAGUGAUAUGACCUGUUCCAGGAUGGAAGGGAUGUGUCUGUUGUGCUGAAGAACCUAAGAAGCAGACCUGUUAGAGACACUGCCUUCAAUGAAUCUGGACCAGGAGUAUCUGAAAAAAGCUGAAAGAAAUAAUGUCCUUCGGUAAAACUUAUUCAAAGUUUUUUUUCUCCUUCCCUAAGGGUAAGUUUUCAGGUCAGCAAUUGAGCAGCAGCGAGGGUGGGUGCACAUGGCAAAAAAAUACCCACAUUUAACCAAGUUUCCUCUUCCUCCACACCAAACAGCACCUCUGCCAACACCACCAAUUGAUUUUGUGUCAGCUGUCUCAAGCCAUCCUUUCUAGAAGCUGUACAUGAAGGUGCAGGUUAUACAAUCAAAACCCUGACUUUAAGAGUUAUCUAACUAGUUCAAAACACCAAUCAGUUCCAAGUCCAGUCAGUCAGCAGUGCUGAGUUGUAGAAAAUCACAAAGCUGCUACUAAAGAAAUAAAAUAAUGAGGUGGCUUGUCCCAGCCAGUGACAGCAGUGGCAGUCACAUUAUCUGUGAUGACAGCACUGAAGUUCAGAGACCUAGAAAUCAUCCAGCAAUUAAAAGAGAAAAGCACCUCCAGAGAGACACUCAAUAUUGAGAUACUUUAAACCUGAUGGUACCACUGUCCUUCUCACAUCUGUUUUACCAUCUUUCCAUAUACUUAAAUAAAAAAUUAGCAAUUUCUAAAGUUCAA
Molecule: long non-coding RNA, 1490 nt
Organism: Parus major (Great Tit)
Lineage: Eukaryota; Metazoa; Chordata; Aves; Passeriformes; Paridae
Exons: 2
Source: RefSeq, a predicted model, not a curated record